This is a long non-coding RNA of Manduca sexta (tobacco hornworm), 2582 nucleotides long. RefSeq lists it as uncharacterized. Lineage: Eukaryota; Metazoa; Arthropoda; Insecta; Lepidoptera; Sphingidae. The transcript has 5 exons. The record is from RefSeq and is a predicted model, not a curated record.
UAUAGUCUUACGACCAUACUGCCUAGUCUUACGUAUUUCUUUUCUUCAAAUUUAAAUUCUUAAUAUAUUGUCUUUCGUAAGUAUUCCAAUUAGUAGUUUUCGUAAGUAUAGUCAAUUCCAGGUAAAGUAUAAUCCAUUUUUCCAAUUGUCAAAUCCAGAGUAAAUAUCAAUUCAGUACGAUUUUCCUCGUCAGUGAAUAUGUUUCAUACUAUCCGUAAAAUAUGUUUUUACUAUCCUCUUCUUAAUUUAAAGCUUCAUUGAGAUAUAGAAUUUGCAAUUCCACUAUUUGCUCUUUGCUCCAUGUAUUGAGCGUGCUUCAAAAUUUCAAAAACUUAGAGAUAAAUUAUAUGAAAUAUGGACACCCAAAAAUUUCACUUCAGAUGUAGUGGGUAACAAACAAUUAUUAUAUUGCACAGCAGGUGUACUGUGACAAUGUUUACCAAAUACAAUAACUUUAGACUUGGAUGGAUUCACACUGAGAUCAAGGAAUCCCUAUUUGUAAUAACUCAAGGCAUAGAAUAUCUAUGUUUACACUAUUAAAAGCACCUGCGAUGUCAAAGAAUACACCGACCAAGUUUUCAUUUGCGGAUAUAGAGUUUUGUAUAUCCAGCUGUAACUGGCAAACGCUUUCUCUAGCAGAACAAUUUCUACGAAAACCAAAUUGAUUGGAAGGUAAUAUAUUUUUCUACAUAGAACUCUAAACGAUGUUUAAGCAAUUGUUCAAAUAAUUUACCAACACAAGAAGUAAGUGCUAUAGGGCGAUAAGAAUCGGGGUGUAACUUUGGCUUAUCAGGUUUUAAAAUUGGUACAAGGCAAUCCAUUUUCCAGUCUUGUGGUAUUAUGUUAUUACCCCAAAGAAGAUUCAAGAUUUGUAAAAAUAUCUCUAAACUUGUAACACUGAGCUUUUUGAAUAAAAUAUAUGACAUUCCGUCGAGACCAUAAGCAGAAUCUCUAUGAGAUGAGAUGGCUGAUAUGAGUUCUUUUAUCGUAAAAGGAUUGAGGAGAAAGCUAUUGUUGGUAUUUACAUUAUUGGUAAAAAGUAAUUCUGAGUUAUAUUGUACAGAGUCCGGAGUAUAUUUCUUUAAAAAUCAGAUACCCAUAAGUCAUCUUCAUGAUUAUUAAAAUUAUAGGUUUUAUUAAAUUUUCGCAUAAAUUUCCAUAUGAUAGACAAUGGUGUGCAUCUAUUAAAGGUUUCACAAAGAGAGAACCAACUUUUUCGCCUUUCUAUUUUUAAAGUUAGUUUUUUAACUGCUCUAAGCCUUUUGAACUGUAAAUAUCAAGUAAAUAAGUCUAUGACAUUGACAUUUGACAAUCAUUUUGAAGUUAUAUUUUUUCGUUUGAAAACAAUCACAGUCUACAGAAAUUUCUUUAAAUUAUUUUUAUAUUCCUUUCAUGUUUCUUACAUUUAAGUAUAUACAAAAUGGGAUUAAAUAAAGUUUGGCAGUGAUUUAUUCGAGUUACGUCAUUUAAUAUCACGAAUACAAACAAAAAAAAAGCCUUUUCAAAAAAAACCGAUACUUGCCGAUUCGAGGGGAGGAAAGAUUUCUGAACGCAUUAACACAUCGUAAUAUAAAAAAUAUUAAGCAUAGACAACCUAUCGUGCGGCCAUGGAGUUAAUAUGUACCUGGAGAGCUUACUACGUUUGACAUUAAUACUGAAAAGAUAUUUUAUGCUUAUAAUGUAAAGUUCAUUUUGCAUUAGCAAUAGAUGUAAGGCAAAAACGGUCUCGAAAGAGAAUCACUUUUUGGUAGCCGUGUCCCUCUCGCACAUGUUGCCAACGUUCAUUACCUUCUAAAUUAAUAAUAUUAAUGGCAGUAUUAGUACAUAAAUAAAAAAUCUCUAUUAGACUACAGUAAUAAAAAAUAAAAUAAAAUAAUAUUGUCUGCUUAAAUCCUUAGAUCCUAUACUUUAUUAUGUUACAAAUUUAAUAAAUGGAAUUAUUAUAGCAGUCGUAUAGUAGAAGUUAUUGUAGUUUACGUUUCGGCAACACCGUGAACUGAAAAAAUGAAUGAAUUCUAUUGAACAAAAUGGCGUUUGUUUACAUUUGUGGUUUGAUGAUAAAGAAGGAUUGAAUAACUUUUAAGCUAGCUUUUUUUUAUAUCGUAGAAGUUACUGCGUAAUUAUGGUGAAUACUUGUGUUGUAAGAGGUUGUAAGCAAGAAUCCUAUCCAGGUUGUGAAAUAUCCUUUCAUAGGAUUCCAGUUAAUAAAGAGUGGAGGGCCUUGUGGGUUGAUGCCAUGAACCUUGACACUAAUGUGACAAAAACUGCAUGUGUUUGUAGCUUACAUUUUACUGAUGAUGCGUAUUUAACAGUAGCUAAGAAUAAGUCAAAGCCACAAGCAGUUCCUUCAGUAUUGCCUAAGAUAGUUCCAGAAAGCAAAAAAUUUACAGUUCUGCGUAUUCAAAAGUUGAAAGGAGGAUCUUUUGUACAUACUUCAUAUUCUAGUCAUAUCACAGUAGUAGGAACUUCUUAUGAACGAAGAGGACCUUCUAGUAAACGGGAUGAUGUAGAAAUGUCUGGUGAACCGCCCAAUAAAAAAAACAAAAUGGAAGAAUCAAGCAAUAAAUAUUAUAUAUUGGUUA